RNAcentral lists this long non-coding RNA (6828 nucleotides) under Brassica napus (rape). Its description in RNAcentral is "long non-coding RNA (BNAP_LNC025617)". Lineage: Eukaryota; Viridiplantae; Streptophyta; Magnoliopsida; Brassicales; Brassicaceae. The record is from RNAcentral.
GCUUGCUGAAGAGAAACAUCUGUUUUAGCUAUGUUUGAUUUGUGCCAUUAGUUUUCUUUGUUUGCAUUGCACCAGUUGUUGAAGUAGUAGGAAAAACUCUGUAAAGUCUGACUAAUUCUCUUACCUUAUCUUGUCCGGUUAAACCAAUAUUAAUCAAUUCCGGUUCGGUCUGCUACAUAUUUCUGUGGGGCUAUCUUUGCAACAUUCGAUUUGCAGCUUGGGAUGGUGAUCAAUAAGUUAUAUAAUUAAGCUAGCAUCAUAUUUCUUGUCAUGAGAUCAUAGUAAUGCUCUACCUUUCCUUUACCAGAUUUUGUUAUGCAUUUGGCUCUUACAUGAGAGUCGUUUACUCUUUUAUAUUUCAGGUAUGGAUCGUCUUUAAAGUAUCUAGCUGGAUAUUGGAAUAAUAUUGGUUGCUCUGUCACCAUCUCUCGGCAAGUACAAUAUAUCUCAAAGUUUAAAGUCUUGACGGAUCCAUUCACCACCCAUCAAUCUAUGGAGAAUUUUUUUUAACAUUCAUCUUUGUUCUCUCUUUCUCAGCUUUGGCAGUUGGCACGAGCCUAGUCAUUGUCGUGCAGCUAUUCCGUCUCUCUUCCCUAAAACCUAAUAAAACGUUAGUCUAAGACGAUAGACUAAUAUAGAUACUAAAAUGUAGCUUAUCAAAUAUCAACAUACUUCUUAUAAUUUUUGUUAAAUUUUUAAAAAUCUUUUGGGUAGAGGAGGAAGCAAAGAACAAAACAAGGCUAAUUUUUUUUUCUUUUUUACCAAGGCUAAGUUAGUGAACACUCUCAUGGGUCGUGGCAGGGCUGGAGAUACGUAUGAGCACAUUCAUCCUCGGUUUUGCGUAUGUGAAGCUUUGUGAUUUCAUUUUUACACACAAAAAACAUUUAUUUAUCCAUUACAAGUUUGUAAGUUGCAUGUAAUAUUGGAUAUCUGUAUAUAAUUUCUUUUUAUAUGACAAACUAUAUUACCGUUAACCUGUUAAAUGAAAAAACUGCCCUUUUGGGCAUGAUGAUGAUGACUCAUGUUGAUUGAUGUAGUAAUCGAAAUGUUGGGAUCAUGACUUGGAAAACCAGAUAUGGAUUGAGCUCUUUUCUCAGGAUCUUUUGGGCUUUGGGCUAGCCUUUCAAUUUUGUUAAAAGCAAAAGGUUGGUGUUUUAAGGUAAUGAAAACAUUAAAAUGAGAAGUAUGAGAUAACAAUUAGGAAUGAACUGCUCAUGCUUUAAUAGUUAGUGAUUACUAGAAACACAAUAGAAACUAAACCUAAUUCAAUAAAAAGGACCGGUAUGGAGAAGACCAAGGCGUUAUGGCUUACAGUAAAAGUCUGACUGGUAUAACCACAACAGCUGCGGGAGCUUGCGAUGCAGGUAGUUGCGGUUUUAAGAGAUUUGUACGACUAGUACUGCGGUUAGAAAUUGGUGCGUUUGCGAGAUACUUAUGACUGAUUAGCCACCAAAUACAACAGUGGUUAAAUAAUAAAUUAACAAUAUUUACAUUUUAUAUAAUUAUAAAAAUAUUAAACAUCAUAAUAUUAUAUAAAUAUAAAAUUAUAUUUUUAAAAUUAUAUUUUUAAAUUUUUAAAUUUUUAAAAAUUAUAAAAAUAUUUUAUUUUAAAAAUUUAUAAUAAAAAUUAAAAUAUAAUAGAUAUAUCUUUAGUAUUUCUAUUAUUUUAAUUUAAAAUUUUUAUUUUUAUUUUUGUAUUUUUAUUGUUUUUAAAAAACAAAAAAAAAAACAAAUUUUACCCUCCCGCAACCGUAAACGCUAGCUGGAACCAACUUUUGAAUUUAAGAGGUUUAAAAUAGUUUGAAUAAGCGAUUUAGAGCGGUUUGAGUGAUUGUUACAAAACGCCAAUAAUAACUACUAACCGUAAAAGCUGCGUUUGCGGAUGGUAGCGGAAAAACCAGUCAUGCCCUAAAUAAUUCCUAACAUUUUAAAUCAAGAAAACCUGUUACCAAUUAUUGUUUGGUUGUUUGAUUUAAAAUCAACUCACAAAUUUGAUUCAAAUGAUACAGUGUCACUUUAGCAUAUAUUUCAAUUCUAACAACCAUAAUAAAUGCAAAUGGAUUAAUUUUCUUAAAUUAAUCAAAUUUUAAUUAAAUCACAAAUAAUAUUUCUGCAAGAUUUUAAGAUUUUUUUUGGUUUUUUGUUCAUUCUAUAUUAUUUACGUAUUCAUCACCAUAUUGUCAUAAUUUUUUUUUACUGAUAUAAAAACUACACAAUUGAAAAGAGAUGAAAAGACUUUCCUAGCAAUAUACAUGGAUCAUAAACUCGUUAAACCCAACUUUGAGGAACUAAAUAUAGUUUUAUAUGUUGUUAUUUGGUCAAAGAACAAAAAUGGACAAACAUAUCUAUUUAUGGUACUGUUUACAAUUAUCUUUAGUCAUGACUAGAGACCAAAUCAAUAGUUGUUAGCUAUACUCCUAAAAAUAGCUAUACUCCUAAACAUAGAUGGGUGCUUGUAUUUUAAUCCAAUCGAAAUUUGUCAAAAUUUAUCGUAAAUCAAAUUAAUGUGUGAUAUUUGAAAAAAAACGAUGAACCUAUAAGAGAAAAGUGACAUCUUAAAUCUCAAAAACAUUAAAAGAAUCAUAUUGAACACGUCUAGUUACAGUAAUCCAUGAUCUGGUCAAAAUGAUCUAAAAUUAGUUUAGUGUUCUAUUUGUGGUAAUGUAGAUAAAUAUCUUAGCCAUGACCAAAUCAAUAGUUCCCAGAUUCGCAAACUCUACUCCUUAAGAUAGAUGGGUGUUUGUUCUGUACCAUUAUUAUACAAGCUAGUCAAAUGUUAUCAAUACAUUUGUUAGUAAUUAGUAUGUAUUAAAUAAUUAAAAUAAAAUAAAAAUGAUUAUCUUGAAUGCAUUAAAUUUUAUUUGAUAUGUAAUCAUGAUUAAGUUUUAACCAACAAAUUAAGAUUUUUUGUAAAACUUUAAAAUAUUAAAUUAUGUGACUUCCUUAUAACCAUUCUAUAUAUAAUAAUUUUUUUUUGAGAAAAUAUAUAUAGUUAUUUAACUUCUAAAACCAGUAUAAUAUCAUAUUAAUAUUGUUUAUUAUUCAUAAAUAUUUUGAUAUUAUAUAUGUUAAUAUAUUUUUAAAUAAUACAUUCUAAGAGGUACGUUUUCAUUAAAAAAAUGUUAUCAAUAUCUUAGACCAUUUGUAUUAUUUCUAUAAUCUAAAAUUAUAACAUAUACGAUUAUUAUGGUCUAAGGGUUUAUAAAAAAGUUUGGUUCGUUACACCUUUCAGUUUUUUUUUGUGUGUUAUAGAACUAUAUGAAUCAUCUAGUUCCAGACUCAUUGAGACAUGUUAUUUCAUCCUGAUUUUUUUAUGGUGUAUAAAAAAGCAACUACUACUGUGAAAGAGACAUCAUCAUCCUGAAAUAUGAGCCUAUAAAACACACACAAACAAGUAAAAAUACAAGAGAAGAAAGAAAAUUGUAAGUCUUUUCAUAUUAAAAAUAAAUAAUUAAGUCAUUUUCUCAUCUAUAAAUACCUUAGACACACUCUUCAGAUCGAAUCGAUUUUCCCCUCACCAAUCCUCUCGAUCAUUGGAGGAAACUAAAAGGGAAAAAAAAAUCGACAUAAGAAUAAAAACAAUUUCCCUUAAAAAUAAGGAAAUGAUAAACUUUGAAGAAAAUAUACAAAACACCAUCUCUCUCACUUAAAGCCCCUAGAGAAUCUAAUCCUCCCAUUAUUCUUUUAAGGAUCGGUGAUUCUCUAAAAAGGUAAACGCACGAGCAUGGCGGCCGCGGUUGCGACGGGGGUUGCACCGUCGACAAUGAUUGAUCAAGUUCCGAGUCCGACGGCGGCUCAGACUUCGGUUCAGGUUUCGGUUUCGGUACCGGUUCAAUCUCCAGUGGUUGCGGCUGAUCAAACGCAUCCGAAUUCAUCGCUCUACGUGGGAGAUCUAGACCCGAGAGUGGCCGAAGCACAUCUGUUCGAUCUGUUCAAACAUAUCGCUAGUGUUGUCUCGGUACGAGUCUGUCGCGAUCAGAGCCGUCGAUCUUUGGGAUAUGCCUACAUCAAUUUCAGUAACCCUAAUGAUGGUAAAAUACACGUUACUCUAUCGCUUCAUGCUCGAGUUAGGGUUUCAUGUAAUCAAACACUCUCAUGAAUUGCAUUACAAUAAAGAGAAUUAUACUAUUCACACUAGUAUUACGAUCAUCGUUUUUUUUCACCUUUUAAUAAUUAUAUUUGCGAAAACUUCAUAUACAUAUUCUUUUUUUUGUUCUUUAAAAAAACUUCAUAUUCUACUAUUCAUGCAAAUCACUAUGUUCCAAUGUAGCGUUUUGUUAGACCUGCUAUUUAAUUAUAGUCAGUAUAUUGUAACACUGAUGCAUCAUUGACAUGUAUCGUUUGAAUACAGGAGCAUUCGUAGAUGUUGCCCAUGCAACUUUUCUAUAAAGAUUCUUUCAAUAGGAAAAAAAGAACUUUUCUAUAAUGAUAUGCUUGACAAAAACGUGAUUAAUUAGUGUGUUUGGGCCUUAUAUAUGUCAUCGCAGAUGCAAGCUAGUCUUUUACUUUUACAAUAACGAUCUUAUAUAUUUCUAAGCUAUUUAUAUAUGAUUGGUUAACUAAUAAAGGUGAGUUAUUUUCCUAGCUAUCCGCGCAAUGGAGGCCUUGAACUACACUCCCCUCUUCGACAGGCCCAUCAGGAUCAUGCUCUCGAACCGUGACCCCAGCACGCGAAAGAGCGGCAAAGGUAACAUUUUUAUCAAAAGCCUAGACGCCUCUAUCGACAACAAGGCCUUGUUCGAAACCUUUUCGAGUUUCGGAACCAUCCUCUCAUGCAAAGUUGCAACUGACGUGACCGGACAGUCCAAGGGAUACGGGUUCGUCCAGUUCGAGAAGGAGGAAUCUGCUCAAGCAGCAAUUGACAAACUAAACGGAAUGCUAAUGAACGACAAGCAAGUAUACGUGGGACACUUCAUCAGACGCCAAGAACGCUCUCGGGAAGAAAACGCCCCUACGCCGCGUUUCACUAACGUGUACGUCAAGAAUCUCCCCAAGGAGAUUGGUGAGGACGAGCUAAGGAAGACGUUUGGUAAAUUUGGAUCGAUUUCGAGCGCGGUUGUGAUGAGGGACCAGAGUGGAAACUCGAGGUGUUUCGGGUUUGUGAACUUUGAGUAUGCCGAAGCAGCGGCGCAAGCCGUUGAGAAGAUGAAUGGGAUUAGCUUAGGGGAUGAUGUGUUGUUCGUUGGGAGGGCGCAGAAGAAGUCUGAGAGAGAGCAAGAGCUGAGAAGGAAGUUUGAGGAAGAGAGGAUGAACCGGUUUGAGAAAUCUCAAGGAGCAAAUCUGUAUUUGAAGAAUCUUGAUGAUAGCGUUGAUGAUGAGAAACUCAAGGAGAUGUUCUCUGAGUUUGGAAAUGUAACCUCUUCCAAGGUAAUAGCAAAAAAAAUGCAUGCAAAUAUCUUUUUUUUAUUGAUGUUACGUUUGUGUUUGAACACAACUCCUCUAAUAAUAUGUGAAAGGUUAUGGUUAAUCCACAAGGAAUAAGCAGAGGGUUUGGUUUUGUUGCUUAUUCCAAUCCUGAAGAAGCUUCAAGAGCCGUGAGUUGCCUAAAGCUUUUUUACUCUUCUCUUUUGACAUCUGAGAUAUGAAGUAAUAUUCUUGUCUUCUUAUCUGCUUUUUAUUUUAGUUUCUAGUCUAUAUGUUUGUGUCUGUGUGUGUGCUUUAGAUUUGGGACACUGCUGGGCAAGAGAGGUUCCAGAGUCUUGGUGUUGCUUUCUAUAGAGGUGCAGAUUGUUGUGUGCUUGUUUAUGAUGUUAACUACCUCAAGUCAUUUGAUUCUCUGGACAAUUGGCACGAGGAGUUUCUUAAGCAGGUUCUUUUGCCCUUUCUACCUUUUUCUCCAAUUUUUUUUUUCUGGAAGAUUUUUCUUCUGUGAGUGAAUCUUGAAUGUUUUCUUAGGCUAGCCCACGGGAUCCAACGGCCUUCCCGUUCAUAUUGCUUGGUAACAAGGUUGAUAUUGAUGGAGGAAACAGUCGAGUGGUAAGUCAGCCUUGGCUUCUUAAUAUAGACAAAACUGAAAAGAUGAGGAAGUAAUAUUGUUAUUCUUAUGAAUGAUAUAAUAUGAUUACUAUAACAACUGAAAAUGUUUUGUAAUAACGAGUGUUAUGUUCCUUGCAUAUAUUAACUUCAGGUAUCAGAGAAGAAAGCUAGAGAAUGGUGUGCUCAAAAGGGAAACAUAUGCUAUUACGAGACAUCGGCUAAAGAAGAUUACAAUGUAGAUGAAUCGUUCUUGUGCAUCACAAAACUUGCCCUUGCCAAUGAGCGCGACCAAGAUAUGUAAGCAAGCCUCUUAUUAUCCUAAGGCUUAAAAAAAAGGAUUCUAAAAGGGGUCGUGCUCGUGGAUGAUGAAACUGUUCCAUUAAAACAUUUUUCUUUGAUUUGGCAGAUAUUUUCAGGGGAUUCCAGAGUCUGGUUCAGAGCCUGAGCAAAGAGGAGGAUGUGCUUGCUGAAGAGAAACAUCUGUUUUAGCUAUGUUUGAUUUGUGCCAUUAGUUUUCUUUGUUUGCAUUGCACCAGUUGUUGAAGUAGUAGGAAAAACUCUGUAAAGUCUGACUAAUUCUCUUACCUUAUCUUGUCCGGUUAAACCAAUAUUAAUCAAUUCCGGUUCGGUCUGCUACAUAUUUCUGUGGGGCUAUCUUUGCAACAUUCGAUUUGCAGCUUGGGAUGGUGAUCAAUAAGUUAUAUAAUUAAGCUAGCAUCAUAUUUCUUGUCAUGAGAUCAUAGUAAUGCUCUACCUUUCCUUUACCAGAUUUUGUUAUGCAUUUGGCUCUUACAUGAGAGUCGUUUACUCUUUUAUAUUUCAGGUAUGGAUCGUCUUUAAAGUAUCUAGCUG